This is an RNA transcript of Odontomachus brunneus, 2403 nucleotides long. It is a transcript of the gene named microtubule-associated proteins 1A/1B light chain 3A-like, with no coding region annotated. The record is from RefSeq and is a predicted model, not a curated record. Lineage: Eukaryota; Metazoa; Arthropoda; Insecta; Hymenoptera; Formicidae. The transcript is spliced from 4 exons.
AGUUCGCCCAUACAGCGUCGCUGUGCAUGCUAGCGUUAUUUUGACCCGUCCCGAGACCCAAGCGUGCAACGAGAGCUCACAGCUGAUAUCGCGCACGUCGCGUACGUCGCAGUAGUUGAUAGUACAUACGCCGUAAACGUCACAACGAAAAUGAGUCUGAAGCCGAAGACAUAUAAGCAGAAACGCUCGUUUGAACAACGUGCAGCCGAUGCAGAAGUAAUUAGAGAACGACAUCCAAACAAAAUUCCUAUCAUUGUGGAACGUUUUUCUGGAGAGAAUCAACUGCCACUUCUGGACAAGACUAAAUUUCUGGUGCCAGAUUUCCUGACUGUGGCAGAGCUUGUUAGAAUAAUUAGGCGUCGAUUAGAGCUGAAUCCGACGCAAGCAUUUUUCCUAUUAGUAAACCAGAAGACCAUGGCGAGUGGCAGUACAACCAUGGCUGAGCUGUAUCAACAUGAAAAGGAUCCAGAUGGUUUUCUUUACAUGGUAUUUGCCAGUCAGGAUGUAUUUGGCCAUUAACCAGAGAGAUGAUGCCCCUAAACCAAGUAAUACAAACUACAGUUAUAACAAUGCGCAUCUUUAAUUAGGCUGUGAGACAAUGUAACUGAUGUAAAAUUACAGAUCUGCUAGCAACUCUGUCUGCCUUUAAUUGAAUGUGCAGAAUCUUUGUGAUCAACUGACGGUACCUGCUGGAAUAAUUAACAGAACAAUCAUAUUUGGAACCUAUGUAUAAAAUCAUCACGGUGCUUUGUACCUUUGACAUAUGGACAUUAAUUAUAUUUGACAUAAGUUAGUGUAGCGUUUGCUUAGUUCACUACUAAUAACGACAGUUUCUAUUGUUAAUUUUAGGGGUGAUAGGCUAUACAACGGUAAUAGUAUAUAGACGUUAAAGGUGUCAUGUGUAAAUUUUUUUUUAAUGGAUAAGGAUUUCAUGCGGGAGAUUAAUUUUUUCUCCUGUUUUUAGUCAUUUAGUACUUUCAUAAGAGUCUACGGUCAUACUAGUAAGUUUAAAAUAUGUUCUCUAUUCGAUUUUACUGUUAUUUUAGAGAUAAUUUAUGUAAUAGUAGGCCAGUGUUACUUUAUUCAUGCCAAUUUAUAUACAAUUUGUGUCAUUACGAUAGCUUCAGUGUGUAACGUUCAUUACCGUUAUUCCAGUUAAUCUAAAUACCGAAACCUAAAUCAAAACUGGCACAAUAUGUUCAUGAGCCAAUUAAGCUGUCAAUUAGUUAACUGUGUUUGUCAGCUCUGACCAAACUUUCAGUUUCUUUUUGGCAUUUGUGGUUAUGUCGUGCUUUCGCUUGUUGCCAACAUAAUCCCCCCCCCCCCCAAAAAAAAGUGUCAUCUCAAUGAGAAUACCCACUUACCAUAAUAAUCUUCAUUAAGUAUUAUUUUUACCACUACAAUGCUAAGACAUUGACGAAAGUGUUCAUGUACAUAACAAUAUACAUGUAUGGUGAUAUGCGUUAAAUUCUCGCGAAAUUACAUUUACUAAGUUUUACACAAGAUGUAAAAUUGAUCUCUGUCGAGUGUCACGAUAUGCAACAAAGAUAAUUAAGUACUAUUAACUAGCAGAUAAAUAAAUUCUUCAGGACGAUGUUUUUAAGAUAAUCCGACGUUAAAUGUUCCCCGUCUUCAGAGAGCUCAUGCAAUAACGCUAAAGUGCAAAAAUUUGUUAAGAAACGAGCAAGAAAAAUCAGAACGACUGCAUGAAUUUCUGAAGCUUUCUAAACAUCGGAUAAAGAAUAAUUACAUUUGUACACUGAUACUUGUAGUAUCUCCGAGCUUUAAUUCCAGUCGAUGCUAGUUCAUGUACACAUUACUCUACGCAGCCAUUUAAUGUAAUAGUCACGUUUAUGUAAAUAUUCAUCGACAUUGUCUCUUGCAUUAUACUGCGUAAUCGGGUGAAAUUUUGUCGUGUUUCGGACGACAACUAGAUUUGUAGUACACUAUAUGGGUACUACUAAUAUGAUACUACUCUCUGCAGCUUAAUUAUCUUUUUCAUUUGUAUACGCAUGUAUCAUAAUUUUUAUGCGUAUGUAUUGCAUAACUGACACAUCGUAUAGUCAUCGCAAAGAGCAGAACGAAAGCAGAAAAACGGGAUAUCUAUUUGACCACGACUCAAAUUGUGUCCUGAUGAUACGAGUUCCGUUCAUUUGAACAGUUGCACCUUCUACCUUUACAAAUGAAAUAGAUAUAUAUUUGAGUUUUGGAGAGAGAGAAAAGAGACAAGAAACAAAGCGUCGAAUGUGCAGCUAAAAAGUGAACAGACCUACGAUCAAUGACGACAGUAGUGAUACUAGCAGUAGUCACAUUAUAUUUAGCUGUAAAGCUUCCGUGAAAGUAUACGCGGAAAGCUACAUGUACCCCACAUUGUACGAACUAUUUGCAAUAAACUAAUUUUUU